GAUGAACGCUGGCGGCGUGCCUAAUACAUGCAAGUCGAGCGAACGGACGAGAAGCUUGCUUUUCUGAUGUUAGCGGCGGACGGGUGAGUAACACGUGGAUAACCUACCUAUAAGACUGGGAUAACUUCGGGAAACCGGAGCUAAUACCGGAUAAUAUUUUGAACCGCAUGGUUCAAAAGUGAAAGACGGUUUUGCUGUCACUUAUAGAUGGAUCCGCGCUGCAUUAGCUAGUUGGUAAGGUAACGGCUUACCAAGGCAACGAUGCAUAGCCGACCUGAGAGGGUGAUCGGCCACACUGGAACUGAGACACGGUCCAGACUCCUACGGGAGGCAGCAGUAGGGAAUCUUCCGCAAUGGGCGAAAGCCUGACGGAGCAACGCCGCGUGAGUGAUGAAGGUCUUCGGAUCGUAAAACUCUGUUAUUAGGGAAGAACAUAUGUGUAAGUAACUGUGCACAUCUUGACGGUACCUAAUCAGAAAGCCACGGCUAACUACGU
This 496-nucleotide ribosomal RNA is filed under the name uncultured bacterium. Its description in RNAcentral is "partial 16S ribosomal RNA". It matches the Rfam family "Bacterial small subunit ribosomal RNA", at positions 28 to 506 of the family's 1533-position model. The record is from RNAcentral.